CCUACGGGAGGCAGCAGUGGGGAAUAUUGCGCAAUGGGCGAAAGCCUGACGCAGCGACGCCGCGUGAGGGAUGAAGGUCUUCGGAUCGUAAACCUCUGUCAGCAGGGAAGAACGGUCACUGUGCUAAUCAGCAGUGAAUUGACGGUACCUGCAAAGGAAGCACCGGCUAACUCCGUGCCAGCAGCCGCGGUAAUACGGAGGGUGCGAGCGUUAAUCGGAAUUACUGGGCGUAAAGCGCUCGUAGGCGGUAUGUCAAGUCAAGGGUGAAAUCCCCGCGCUGAACGUGGGAACUGCCUUUGAAACUGGCAAACUGGAGUGUGGGAGAGGGUAGUGGAAUUCCAGGUGUAGGAGUGAAAUGCGUAGAUAUCUGGAGGAACAUCAGUGGCGAAGGCGACUAUCUGGCACAUAACUGACGCUGAGGAGCGAAAGCGUGGGUAGCAAACAGGAUUAGAUACCCCGGUAGUC
This 465-nucleotide ribosomal RNA is filed under the name uncultured bacterium. RNAcentral's name for it is "partial 16S ribosomal RNA". It matches the Rfam family "Bacterial small subunit ribosomal RNA", at positions 338 to 795 of the family's 1533-position model. The record is from RNAcentral.